GGGGUCGACUGGUUUUGACAGCGAGAUUAAUUAAAUGGUAAGCACGUCGUGUAAUGGUAUUGAAACACGUUAAAGGCUAAACCAAAUUUUAAACGGCGAGAAUAACUACGCUUUAGCUGCAUAAUCUGAAUUAUAGUAAGAUUAAGCCUCGGCUCACUAGGUGAGCAAGCUUUAUGUCUCCAGAAAGCCUUGGUUAAUGGCGUUCUAUUUAGAGGCAUCGUAAAUAUUAACUAAGAUUGGGUAGCGCUUUAAUGCCUUUUCGAGAUUUAGAAGCUAAGCUGUAAGUAGGCUGUUUUUUGUCAGCUUACGGUCUAAAACUAAGAAAAAACUAAGCGUGUAGAAAGCUCUUUGGUUACUUGUUUGGACGAGAGUUCGAUUCUCUCCGACUCCACAA
This 394-nucleotide transfer-messenger RNA is filed under the name Flavobacteriaceae. RNAcentral's name for it is "Winogradskyella sp003712105 Standard tmRNA". It matches the Rfam family "transfer-messenger RNA". From Rfam's summary of the family: Bacterial tmRNA, also known as 10Sa RNA or SsrA, is named for its dual tRNA and mRNA-like properties. Lineage: Bacteria; Pseudomonadati; Bacteroidota; Flavobacteriia; Flavobacteriales. RNAcentral also lists the same sequence under 1 other name. The record is from RNAcentral.